CUAAAUAGAGACUUGUAUGAACGGUUAAAUGAGGGCCUAACUGUCUCCUGUGGCUAAUCAAUGAACUUGAGCCUACAGUACAAACACUGUAAUAUAACUAUAAGACGAGAAGACCCUGUGGAGCUUAAAGCUACUACAUUAACUUAAUACUGCGGCCAUUAUAAGCAUAAUGUAAACUUUAAGUUGGGGCGACUAUGGAGUAAAAAAAACCCUCCAUGCAACACGAUUAAAACUCGUCAUUCUAGGCCAACAAGCCUAAUCCAAAAAGACCCAGUCAAACUGACUAUCGAACCAAGUUACCCCAGGGAUAACAGCGCCAUCCCCUUAAAGAGUCCACAUCGCCAAGGGGGUUU
Molecule: ribosomal RNA, 353 nt
Filed under: Phelsuma guimbeaui
Lineage: Eukaryota; Metazoa; Chordata; Lepidosauria; Squamata; Gekkonidae
Description: partial 16S ribosomal RNA
Rfam family: Bacterial large subunit ribosomal RNA
Source: RNAcentral